AGGAAACCCUUCCUGAAAAUUGGAUUUUUUUUUCUUGUCUACGCAGGAUAGAAACAAGAUGGGAGAUUCAGUACCUCUAAAACUAGCACUGCCAGAGCUGAAGUAUCCUAUUGGUUCACAGCCAAAGGAAAAGUCAGCAAUCAACCAAUACUCUGGUUCAGAGUAUAUCUCUAUUGUCAAAAGCAUCCUAAAACCAGAUGAGAUGAUAAGAGUCCGAGGAUCAUUUCUGGGACCUGUAAUGAAGCUCAGUGAGAGAGGAUUGAAGUUAUCAGCAAAGAUAGUCUACGCCAUUCUCACUAGAAGCAUCGUUUCUGUCAAGGAGAAUGAAGCCUGGUUCCAUUUCGGUGCGCAGCCAAUGAGGUUCUCUAUAAGAGAAUUUCAUAUGAUGACAGGCUUGAAAUGUAGUGGUGCAUUAGAAGGACCACGAAGGGAAACCGAGAGAUUUAAUUGGGAAUUGCUAAAGGGGCGUAGUCAUAAGUUAAGUGACGUGGUGGACCAGCUCAGAAACACAAGAGAAGAUGCUUCUGAGGAGAGAGUAUGCCUCGCAAUGCUCAUCCUGGUAGAGAGCAUAUUAUUGCGGAAGAGCAAAGGAGGGAGUUUUCCUUUGGAAUAUGCGAAAAAUGCACAGGAUAUGACAUAUCCAUGGGGAAAAGAGGCUUACAUUGUGCUCCUGAAGUCAAUUCAAAACGCUGUCGCGAAUCAUUUGGAGAAUAAAUCCAAAUUUGAGUUGCAAGGUUAUCCUCUAGUAUUCCUUCUUUGGAUACUAGAGUCGAUUCCUUUGCUAAGGAAUAAGUUCAGUAAGUGUGUACCAACAGUUGAGGUUCCUGGGCCGACUUACUUGUGUGAAAAAUACACUGAGGUAGAGAAUCCAUCACUUGAUAGGGUUUUACAGGUUGAAGCUGAUUCAAAGGUAAGCUUUUCCAAGUAUAUGUUUCUCAGUUUAUUUGGCUUCUUCUUUUUAAUAUGUUUCUCAUUGGUCUUUUUUUAAAUACUCUCAGCUGAAGGUCCAUUGCAUACUACCUUCUAUUCCUCAUGAUCCAGAAGAUGAUAUCUCCAUUGAAGACAAAUAUAGUGACGAGCUGGAAACAGUGAAAGAUGUAACAAAGAAAGGGUACAAGAUUACAGCCGAUGACUGGGAAAAUAGGUGUGUAGACACAUUUGACACAUUGGAUGCUCUUAUUCAAAUGAUGGCAAAUAAGGAGACUGGCCAAGCUUCUACUCCGAUUGAUGAGGAUUCAGUAAAUGAAAAAGUGAACAGGAUCAUCACGGUAAUGGAGGAGAAUCUGAAGAGCAUGAAGGAUCGAAUGUCAUUACUGGAAGAAGAAAACAUACAUCUUAGAGCUCGUGUGUCAGAGUUGGAAGGAAACAACAAUGUUUUUCCCACUAACGUGACACAAAAGGUAAAUUCUCAAAACAUCUUCUUUUACAUUUGCAUUUUCAAGUAUUUUUUGGAAGAUCUUGUACAUAUUCUUGAAUGCCUUCCUAAUAUUUGACAAACAGCGAUCCAGUGGGACACCUUUAUCUCCAAUGUCUCACACGCAACCAUCGAGUGAGACACCUUUAUCUCCAAUGUCUCACACGCAACCAUCGAGUGAGACACCUUUAUCUCCAAUGUCUCAACAGCCUAAUUUGACACAUGAGGUAUGUAACCAAUAAAUAUUGUUGAGUUUUGAAGUAAUAUUUGGAAAGCUUUUGUACUUCUUGAAUGCAUUCCUGAUUUUUGCAGGAGACAAUGAUUGAAUCAGCUGCAUCUCCAAAGUCUCAACAAAAUGAGGUAUAUGCUCAAAAAUUUUUAAGAAAAUAUUUGGAAAUUCUUGUACAAAAUCCUGAAUGCCUUCCUGAUUUUUGCAGGAUUACACGCAACCAUCGAGUGAGACGCCUUUAUCUCCAAUGUCUCAACAGCCUAAUUUGACAAAUGAGGUAUGUAACCAAUAAAAUAUUGUUGAGUUUUGAAGUAAUAUUUGGAAGCUUUUGUACAUAUUCUAGAAUGCAUUCUUGAUUUUUGCAGGAGACAAUGAAUGAAUCAGAUGAUGAAACUCCUGCCCUUGAUACUCAAGUAUUCUCUCCUAAUCUGACAAAAGAGGUAUAUGCUCAAUGAUAUUGUUUUCACAGUUGGAGUUUACAAAUUAGUUUUGGGUGAUUUUUUUUUACAUAUAAAGGCUUUUCUGAUUUUUGACAGAAAGAAACAGAAACGUCUACCGAUGAGAGGCCAUCCAAUCCUAAUCAAGAUGGAAAACCAGAUGAUGAGGUAAUAUUUAUUCUAGAAAUUAUAGUUGAAUGUAUUCAUGAUGGCCAUUCCUGAUAUUUUUUUGCAGAUUGUGAGAGAGAAAUUAACAAGUGAGUCACCUGCUAGUCAGAGUCAAGUUUUGCAGAAAGAAACAGUAGAAAUGAAUGAGACACCUUCUUCUCCAAUAGCUCCAAAGAGUAUUGAAACUCCCGUUUAUACUCCAAGUCAGACUCAGCAGAUUGAGAGAGAGCCAUCGGAUGACACGCCUGCCCUUGAUACUCAAGUUUUUACUCCUAAUCUGACAAAAGAGGUAUAUGCUCAAUGACAGUUGGAGUUUACAAUUAGUUUUGGGUGAUUUACAUAUAUAGACCUUUCUAAUUUUUGGCAGAGGGAAACACAAACCUCUACUGAUGAAACGCCACCCAAAACUAAUCAAGAAGAAGGAAAACCAGAUGAUGAGGUAAUAUUUACUCUAGAAAUUAUAAUUGAAUGUAUUCA
This is an RNA transcript of Brassica rapa (field mustard), 2725 nucleotides long. RefSeq lists it as uncharacterized. The record is from RefSeq and is a predicted model, not a curated record. NCBI's taxonomy places the organism in Eukaryota, Viridiplantae, Streptophyta, Magnoliopsida, Brassicales, Brassicaceae.